RNAcentral lists this ribosomal RNA (478 nucleotides) under uncultured bacterium. RNAcentral describes it as "partial 16S ribosomal RNA". It matches the Rfam family "Bacterial small subunit ribosomal RNA", at positions 28 to 523 of the family's 1533-position model. The record is from RNAcentral.
GACGAACGCUGGCGGCGUGCUUAACACAUGCAAGUCGAACGGUAAGGCCCUUCGGGGUACACGAGUGGCGAACGGGUGAGUAACACGUGGGUGAUCUGCCCUGCACUUCGGGAUAAGCCUGGGAAACUGGGUCUAAUACCGGAUAGGACUCCUGGCUUCAUGGUUGGGGGUGGAAAGCUUUUGCGUUGUGGGAUGGGCCCGCGGCCUAUCAGCUUGUUGGUGGGGUAAUGGCCUACCAAGGCGACGACGGGUAGCCGGCCUGAGAGGGUGACCGGUCACACUGGGACUGAGAUACGGCCCAGACCCCUACGGGAGGCAGCAGUGGGGAAUAUUGCACAAUGGGCGCAAGCCUGAUGCAGCGACGCCGCGUGAGGGAUGACGGCCUUCGGGUUGUAAACCUCUUUCAGCUAUGACGAAGCGCAAGUGACGGUAGUAGCAGAAGAAGGACCGGCCAACUACGUGCCAGCCGCCGCAGUAA